Molecule: ribosomal RNA, 465 nt
Filed under: uncultured bacterium
Lineage: Bacteria
Description: partial 16S ribosomal RNA
Rfam family: Bacterial small subunit ribosomal RNA
Source: RNAcentral
GACGAACGCUGGCGGCGUGCUUAACACAUGCGAGUCGUACGGUAAGGCCCUUUCGGGGGUACACGAGUGGCGCACGGGUGAGUAACACGUGAGUAACCUGCCCACAACUUUGGGAUAACGCUAGGAAACUGGUGCUAAUACUGGAUAUGUGCUCCUGCUGCAUGGUGGGGGUUGGAAAGCUCCGGCGGUUGUGGAUGGACUCGCGGCCUAUCAGCUUGUUGGUGGGGUAGUGGCCUACCAAGGCGGCGACGGGUAGCCGGCCUGAGAGGGUGACCGGCCACAUUGGGACUGAGAUACGGCCCAGACGCCUACGGGAGGCAGCAGUGGGGAAUAUUGCACAAUGGGCGCAAGCCUGAUGCAGCAACGCCGCGUGCGGGAUGACGGCCUUCGGGUUGUAAACCGCUUUCAGCAGGGACGAAGCUUUUUGUGACGGUACCUGCAGAAGAAGCACCGGCUAACUACGUG